Molecule: ribosomal RNA, 253 nt
Filed under: uncultured bacterium
Lineage: Bacteria
Description: partial 16S ribosomal RNA
Rfam family: Bacterial small subunit ribosomal RNA
Source: RNAcentral
CACGUAGGGUGCGAGCGUUGUCCGGAAUUAUUGGGCGUAAAGAGCUCGUAGGCGGUGUGUCGCGUCGGCCGUGAAAACCUGCAGCUUAACUGUGGGCUUGCGGUCGAUACGGGCAUCACUGGAGUUCGGCAGGGGAGACUGGAAUUCCUGGUGUAGCGGUGAAAUGCGCAGAUAUCAGGAGGAACAGCCGAUGGCGAAGGCAGGUCUCUGGGCGAUACUGACGCUGAGGAGCGAAGCGUGGGGAGCGAACAGG